AAAUUUAAAUAUACAUAUAUUUUUAUGUUGGAUGCUUAGCAUAUUGUUGAAAUGUGGAUCCCUCAUUGUAUGGGUUGUGCCAGGAGCUGUGGAGCAUGAAAUUUAUUGGUUAAAUGAUAUAUGUUCUUGGAGACUGCACAUAUCUAAUUGAAUUUAAUGCCAAUUGGAUUUGGGCUUGCUUUCUAUUAAGGUAACUAAGAUAGGUUGUACAUGCCAUACUAAGAUCUGGUCAUGGAGAUGGUAUUUGUAAAUGUAUCUAAGUUUACAAUUAUCAAAAGACCUAAGUUUCCAUGUCAAUUGUAUUUUUUUUUUCCUAAAAUGUGCUUCGGGUAACUUCUUCAAAUAUAGUGUCCCAUAAGUAAACUCGCAUUGUAGACAGAUCAUUAUCUUGAGCUCGCAUUGUAGAUAGAUCAUUAUCUUGAGUGUGAAUCUGUAGCAGUAUUGAAAUUUGUGUAAGAUCUCAGUUUGUUCUAAAUUUAUA
This 481-nucleotide unclassified non-coding RNA is filed under the name Hevea brasiliensis (rubber tree). Lineage: Eukaryota; Viridiplantae; Streptophyta; Magnoliopsida; Malpighiales; Euphorbiaceae. The record is from RNAcentral.